CUAAUACAUGCAAGUCGAGCGCGGGAAGCAAGCUGAUCCUCUUCGGAGGUGACGCUUGUGGAACGAGCGGCGGACGGGUGAGUAACACGUGGGCAACCUGCCUGUAAGACUGGGAUAACCCCGGGAAACCGGGGCUAAUACCGGAUAAUACUUUUCAUCACCUGAUGAGAAGUUGAAAGGUGGCUUUUAGCUACCACUUACAGAUGGGCCCGCGGCGCAUUAGCUAGUUGGUGAGGUAACGGCUCACCAAGGCAACGAUGCGUAGCCGACCUGAGAGGGUGAUCGGCCACACUGGGACUGAGACACGGCCCAGACUCCUACGGGAGGCAGCAGUAGGGAAUCUUCCGCAAUGGACGAAAGUCUGACGGAGCAACGCCGCGUGAGUGAUGAAGGUUUUCGGAUCGUAAAGCUCUGUUGUUAGGGAAGAACAAGUGCCGUUCGAAUAGGGCGGCACCUUGACGGUACCUAACCAGAAAGCCCCGGCUAACUACGUGCCAGCAGCCGCGGUAAUACGUAGGGGGCAAGCGUUGUCCGGAAUUAUUGGGCGUAAAGCGCGCGCAGGCGGUCCUUUAAGUCUGAUGUGAAAGCCCACGGCUCAACCGUGGAGGGUCAUUGGAAACUGGAGGACUUGAGUACAGAAGAGGAGAGUGGAAUUCCACGUGUAGCGGUGAAAUGCGUAGAGAUGUGGAGGAACACCAGUGGCGAAGGCGACUCUCUGGUCUGUAACUGACGCUGAGGCGCGAAAGCGUGGGGAGCGAACAGGAUUAGAUACCCUGGUAGUCCACGCCGUAAACGAUGAG
This 800-nucleotide ribosomal RNA is filed under the name Virgibacillus sp. JSM 076053. RNAcentral describes it as "bacterial SSU rRNA". It matches the Rfam family "Bacterial small subunit ribosomal RNA", at positions 48 to 813 of the family's 1533-position model. The record is from RNAcentral. Lineage: Bacteria; Bacillati; Bacillota; Bacilli; Caryophanales; Bacillaceae.